CGCAGACCCUCUCCUGCAGAGGCAGAGGCCGCCUGCCACAGGCCACGUGGAGCAGGGUCCCACCAUGGCCCUGAGCAUCUUCACUGAGCAGUUCUGCAUCCCAAGGCCUCACAAGAAGCCCCCGAGCGCCCACAGUAUGAAGGAGGAGGCCUUCCUCCGACGCCGCUUCUCCCUGUGUCCGCCUUCUUCCACCCCUCAGAAAGUCGACCCCCGGAAGCUCACCCGGAACCUGCUCCUCAGCGGAGACAAUGAGCUCUACCCACUCAGCCCAGGGAAGGACAUGGAGCCCAACGGCCCGUCGCUGCCCAGGGAUGAAGGGCCCCCGACCCCAAGCUCUGCCACGAAGGUGCCACCGGCAGAGUACAGGUUGUGCAACGGGUCAGACAAAGAAUGUGUGUCCCCCACCGCCAGGGUCACCAAGAAGGAGACUCUCAAGGCACAGAAGGAGAACUACCGGCAGGAGAAGAAGCGCGCUACACGGCAGCUGCUCAGCGCUCUGACAGACCCCAGCGUGGUCAUCAUGGCCGACAGCCUGAAGAUCCGCGGCACCCUGAAGAGCUGGACCAAGCUGUGGUGUGUGCUGAAGCCGGGGGUGCUGCUCAUCUACAAGACGCCCAAGGUGGGCCAGUGGGUGGGCACGGUGCUGCUACACUGCUGUGAGCUCAUCGAGCGGCCCUCCAAGAAGGACGGCUUCUGCUUCAAGCUCUUCCACCCGCUGGAUCAGUCCGUCUGGGCCGUGAAGGGCCCCAAAGGUGAGAGCGUGGGCUCCAUCACACAGCCCCUGCCCAGCAGCUACCUGAUCUUCAGGGCCGCCUCCGAGUCAGAUGGUCGCUGCUGGCUAGAUGCCCUGGAGCUGGCCCUGCGCUGUUCUAGCCUGCUGAGACUGGGCUCCUGCAAGCCAGGCCGAGACGGGGAGCCAGGGACCUCGCCAGACGCAUCACCCUCAUUGCUCUGCGGGCUGCCAGCCUCAGCCACCAUCCACCCAGACCAAGACCUGUUCCCACUGAACGGGUCUUCCCUGGAGAACGACGCAUUCUCAGACAAGUCAGAGAGAGAGAACCCUGAGGAGUCAGAUGCCGAGACCCAGGACCAUAGCCGGAAGACAGAGAGUGGCAGCGACCAGUCAGAGACCCCUGGGGCCCCGGCGCGGAGAGGGACCACAUAUGUGGAGCAGGUCCGGGAGGAGCUGGGGGAGCUGGGCGAGGCGUCCCAGGUGGAGACAGUGUCAGAGGAGAACAAGAGUCUGAUGUGGACCCUGCUGAAGCAGCUACGGCCAGGCAUGGACCUGUCCCGCGUGGUGCUACCCACAUUCGUACUGGAGCCGCGCUCCUUCCUGAACAAGCUCUCCGACUACUUCUACCACGUAGAUCUGCUCUCCAGGGCUGCUGUGGAGGAGGAUGCCUACAGCCGCAUGAAGCUGGUGCUGCGGUGGUACCUGUCUGGCUUCUACAAGAAGCCCAAGGGAAUCAAGAAGCCGUACAACCCCAUCCUGGGGGAGACCUUCCGCUGCUGCUGGUUCCACCCCCAGACUGACAGCCGCACGUUCUACAUAGCAGAGCAGGUGUCCCACCACCCGCCCGUGUCUGCCUUCCACGUCAGCAACCGCAAGGACGGCUUCUGCAUCAGUGGCAGCAUCACAGCCAAGUCCAAGUUCUAUGGGAACUCGCUGUCAGCACUGCUGGAUGGCAAAGCCACGCUCACCUUCCUGAACCGAGCCGAGGAUUACACCCUUACCAUGCCCUAUGCCCACUGCAAAGGAAUCCUGUAUGGCACGAUGACCAUGGAGCUGGGUGGGAAGGUCACCAUCGAGUGCGCGAAGAACAACUUCCAGGCCGAGCUGGAAUUCAAACUCAAGCCCUUCUUCGGGGGUAGCACCAGCAUCAACCAGAUCUCGGGAAAGAUCACGUCCGGAGAGGAAGUCCUGGCGAGCCUCAGUGGCCACUGGGACAGGGACGUAUUUAUCAAGGAGGAAGGGAGUGGAAGCACUGCGCUUUUCUGGACCCCGAGCGGGGAGGUCCGCAGGCAGAGGCUGAGGCAGCACACGGUACCGCUGGAGGAGCAGAUGGAGCUGGAGUCCGAGAGGUGAGGCCUGUCAGCACCUAGGGACCCUGCUGACCACAGCCCGACAUGGCUGGGCAGGCAGGUCAGCAGGGCUGCAGUGCUGUCAGCAUGGCCCCAGGAUGUCCCUGGCAGGGAGGGCAGGCCUGGUGCACCCCUGGUGACA
This 2224-nucleotide small RNA is filed under the name Pongo abelii (Sumatran orangutan). RNAcentral describes it as "retained intron". Lineage: Eukaryota; Metazoa; Chordata; Mammalia; Primates; Hominidae. The record is from RNAcentral.